This 987-nucleotide ribosomal RNA is filed under the name Halomonas sp. RNAcentral's name for it is "bacterial SSU rRNA". It matches the Rfam family "Bacterial small subunit ribosomal RNA", at positions 69 to 1050 of the family's 1533-position model. Lineage: Bacteria; Pseudomonadati; Pseudomonadota; Gammaproteobacteria; Oceanospirillales; Halomonadaceae. The record is from RNAcentral.
GAACGAUGGAGCUUGCUCCAGGCGUCGAGCGGCGGACGGGUGAGUAAUGCAUAGGAAUCUGCCCGGUAGUGGGGGAUAACCUGGGGAAACCCAGGCUAAUACCGCAUACGUCCUACGGGAGAAAGCAGGGGAUCUUCGGACCUUGCGCUAUCGGAUGAGCCUAUGUCGGAUUAGCUUGUUGGUGAGGUAAUGGCUCACCAAGGCGACGAUCCGUAGCUGGUCUGAGAGGAUGAUCAGCCACAUCGGGACUGAGACACGGCCCGAACUCCUACGGGAGGCAGCAGUGGGGAAUAUUGGACAAUGGGCGAAAGCCUGAUCCAGCCAUGCCGCGUGUGUGAAGAAGGCUUUCGGGUUGUAAAGCACUUUCAGUGAGGAAGAAGGCCUUGGGGCUAAUACCCCCGAGGAAGGACAUCACUCACAGAAGAAGCACCGGCUAACUCCGUGCCAGCAGCCGCGGUAAUACGGAGGGUGCGAGCGUUAAUCGGAAUUACUGGGCGUAAAGCGCGCGUAGGCGGCGUGAUAAGCCGGUUGUGAAAGCCCCGGGCUCAACCUGGGAACGGCAUCCGGAACUGUCAGGCUAGAGUGCAGGAGAGGAAGGUAGAAUUCCCGGUGUAGCGGUGAAAUGCGUAGAGAUCGGGAGGAAUACCAGUGGCGAAGGCGGCCUUCUGGACUGACACUGACGCUGAGGUGCGAAAGCGUGGGUAGCAAACAGGAUUAGAUACCCUGGUAGUCCACGCCGUAAACGAUGUCGACUAGCCGUUGGGGUCCUUGAGACCUUUGUGGCGCAGUUAACGCGAUAAGUCGACCGCCUGGGGAGUACGGCCGCAAGGUUAAAACUCAAAUGAAUUGACGGGGGCCCGCACAAGCGGUGGAGCAUGUGGUUUAAUUCGAUGCAACGCGAAGAACCUUACCUACCCUUGACAUCGUGCGAACUUUGUAGAGAUACCUUGGUGCCUUCGGGAGCGCACAGACAGGUGCUGCAUGGCU